Molecule: ribosomal RNA, 497 nt
Filed under: uncultured bacterium
Lineage: Bacteria
Description: partial 16S ribosomal RNA
Rfam family: Bacterial small subunit ribosomal RNA
Source: RNAcentral
GAUGAACGCUGGCGGCGUGCCUAAUACAUGCAAGUCGAGCGAACAGACGAGGAGCUUGCUCCUCUGACGUUAGCGGCGGACGGGUGAGUAACACGUGGAUAACCUACCUAUAAGACUGGGAUAACUUCGGGAAACCGGAGCUAAUACCGGAUAAUAUAUUGAACCGCAUGGUUCAAUAGUUAAAGACGGUUUUGCUGUCACUUAUAGAUUGAUCCGCGCCGCAUUAGCUAGUUGGUAAGGUAACGGCUUACCAAGGCAACGAUGCGUAUCCGACCUGAGAGGGUGAUCGGCCACACUGGAACUGAGACACGGUCCAGACUCCUACGGGAGGCAGCAGUAGGGAAUCUUCCGCAAUGGGCGAAAGCUUGACGGAGCAACGCCGCGUGAGUGAUGAAGGUCUUCGGAUCGUAAAACUCUGUUAUUAGGGAAGAACAAAUGUGUAAGUAACUAUGCACGUCUUGACGGUACCUAAUCAGAAAGCCACGGCUAACUACGUG